This 440-nucleotide ribosomal RNA is filed under the name uncultured bacterium. Its description in RNAcentral is "partial 16S ribosomal RNA". It matches the Rfam family "Bacterial small subunit ribosomal RNA", at positions 338 to 795 of the family's 1533-position model. The record is from RNAcentral.
CCUACGGGAGGCAGCAGUGGGGAAUAUUGCACAAUGGGGGAAACCCUGAUGCAGCGACGCCGCGUGAGUGAAGAAGUAUUUCGGUAUGUAAAGCUCUGUCAGCAGGGAAGAAAAUGAUGGUAUCUGACCAAGAAGCCCCGGCUAACUACGUGCCAGCAGCCGCGGUAAUACGUAGGGGGCAAGCGUUAUCCGGAUUUACUGGGUGUAAAGGGAGCGUAGACGGCAGGGCAAGUCUGGAGUGAAAGGCGGGGGCUCAACCCGCGGACUGCUCUGGAAACUGGCAGGCUGGAGUGCAGGAGAGGGAAGUGGAAUUCCUGGUGUAGCGGUGAAAUGCGUAGAUAUUGGGAGGAACACCAGUGGCGAAGGCGGCUUACUGGACUGUAACUGACGUUGAGGCGCGAAAGCGUGGGGAGCAAACAGGAUUAGAUACCCCGGUAGUC